This 25-nucleotide microRNA is filed under the name Equus caballus (horse). RNAcentral's name for it is "eca-miR-8983". The record is from miRBase by way of RNAcentral. Lineage: Eukaryota; Metazoa; Chordata; Mammalia; Perissodactyla; Equidae.
UGCGAUGUGACUCAGAGCCAGCCGC